GAUGAAGAACGUAGCGAAAUGUGAUAAGUAAUGUGAAUUGCAGAAUUCAGUGAAUCAUCGAAUCUUUGAACGCACAUUGCGCCCGCCAGUAUUCUGGCGGGCAUGCCUGUCUGAGCGUCAUUUCAACCCUCAUGCCCCUAGGGCGUGGUGUUGGGGAUCGGCCAAAGCCCGCGAGGGACGGCCGGCCCCUAAAUCUAGUGGCGGACCCGUCGUGGCCUCCUCUGCGAAGUAGUGAUAUUCCGCAUCGGAGAGCGACGAGCCCCUGCCGUUAAACCCCCAACUUUCCAAGGUUGACCUCAGAUCAGGCAGGAAUACCCGCUGAACUUAAGCAUAUCAAUAAGCGGAGGA
RNAcentral lists this unclassified non-coding RNA (348 nucleotides) under soil metagenome. Its description in RNAcentral is "partial contains 5.8S ribosomal RNA, internal transcribed spacer 2, and large subunit ribosomal RNA". The stretch from base 1 to 120 matches the Rfam family "5.8S ribosomal RNA", at positions 35 to 154 of the family's 154-position model. The record is from RNAcentral.